CUAGAACACUUCGCUCUGAUGUCAGAUUAAUUAUUGCCGUCAAACUUCAUAUGGUAAUCUAAGUGGCUUGCGAAUCGUACCCCUGUGUAGUAACGCUGUUAAACACAUAGUAAUACACAUUCGAACAUUGGACAAAACUACCGCCAAAGGCACUUGCCCGCAACACCAAUGAGCUAUAUUGCCUAAGCUAGGAAACUAGGCCGCAAGAAUGGUAAACUUAUAGUGACCAAAGGGGUGCCAGCAGUCGCGGUUAGACCCCAACUCGGAAUUAAUUCACACGUUGACAUAAAGGUACCAAACCCACCUCUGACUUCAAUCUUACAACCCAAAAGUGAAAUUUGUAACAAAAUAAGUAUACCCAAACAAGUCAUCACCCCAAAACGUACCCUAACAAACCACACCUACAAGACGCGGAUUAGAUACCCGCCUAUCGCGUGGCCCAACACUCCAAACUCUAAAAACGAAAGUUCCAAACUUAAAAAGCGUGGCGGUAUUCUACACCUUAUUAGGGGAUCCUGUGGCUUAAUUCGAUAACCCACGAACACCGAAGCUUUGUUAGUUAACAGCUUAUGUAUGGCCGUUUUAAGUCUGCACACCAACAAAAUAAAAGGAGACACCCAAGACUACAUCUUGCUAACACAGGUGACAUAUAGCCAACACAAAGCAGCUCAUGGGAUACAAAUGCCUAUCAAGCAUCCAAAAGAGAAUGAAAUUUCUGCUAUAAAGGAGGACUUAAAAGUAAGGUUACAACACUACUACAGCCUGAACAAGAACUAGAAUGCGCACAAAUCGCCCGUCACUCCCGAUACUUAAAUCGGGAUAAGUCGUAACACAGUAGGGGUAUCGGAAGUUGCCCCUAGACUAAAC
This 867-nucleotide ribosomal RNA is filed under the name Pronodularia japanensis. RNAcentral describes it as "12S rRNA". Lineage: Eukaryota; Metazoa; Mollusca; Bivalvia; Unionida; Unionidae. The record is from RNAcentral.